This 993-nucleotide long non-coding RNA is filed under the name Homo sapiens (human). Its description in RNAcentral is "HSALNT0121871". The record is from RNAcentral. Lineage: Eukaryota; Metazoa; Chordata; Mammalia; Primates; Hominidae.
CUCCAAAUCAAACAGUCUGUAAUCCCUAAAUAACACAGCUACUCCCACAUCUCAUGCCUUUACACACGUACUGCCUUUGUUCAGGACGCCCUCUCCCCUUUUCUGCCUGACAGAUUUAUUCUCAUCCCUCAUUCCAUGCAUGAUGGGUCUCAAUAAAGAACCAAUUCCUCUGUAAAGCCUGCCCUGGCCUCCCCUGCUCCUUCCAGGGAGGGCUUAAUGGCUGCCCCGUCCCUGCUCCACAGCAUGGUGUACACAGCAUGCUUACUCUAUUGUUCUGUUAGCUGUUUGUUUCUGUCUCCAUCACAUUGGUCCUCUAGAUGUAUAGAAUGAAUGUUCACAUUUCCUUUCCUUCCAUUCAUAUUCUGCCCCUCCAUCUGACUUCUGUCCUCUCAUUCCACUACAAAUCACAAAAUCCAGUGAUAUUCUUCAAUGCUUUUUUCUGGACCCCUCCCUUAGCAGUGUUUGACAAAGUUAACCACUCCUUCCUUGUUUAUAUGUUAUCUUUCUCUUGGCUCCCAUGACAAAACACUGUCCUGGCUUUCUUCCUAUCUCUGGCUGUGUCUUCCAUCUCCUCUGAUGGGCCACCUUCUUUUACCUGGUCCACUGGAUGCUGGGUUUCUCAAGGCUUGAUCUUGAGGCCUUUCCUCUUUUUACUCCAAACUCUCAGCUUGCAUGAUCUGCACCCAAGGCUUAAAUAUCACCUACACCUUAAGACUCACAAUGUUUUUCUCUCUUUCAGACCUCUUCAACCAGCUGCUUACCUAUUAUCUCCCCUUUGAUGUCUCAAAGGUACCUCAAAUUCAACAUGACCAAAAACAGACUCCUAUUUUCCUUCCUAAAUCAUAUUCUCCCUAUGCCAAUGACAGGCGUCUCAGUGAAUGCUAUGAUCAUCCCUCAGAAUAGGAGAGAACACUAACAAUCAUCUUGGCCAUUCCUUUCCUCCCCGCUCUUCCAUUUAGCUAACAUGUCACCAUAGUUGAUUUUAAAUACUAA